AGAGUUUGAUCAUGGCUCAGAUUGAACGCUGGCGGUAUGCUUAACACAUGCAAGUCGAACGGAAACGAUACUAGCUUGCUAGUAGGCGUCGAGUGGCGGACGGGUGAGUAACGCGUAGGAAUCUACCUAAUAGUGGGGGAUAGCCCGGAGAAAUCCGGAUUAAUACCGCAUAAUCUCUAUGGAGUAAAGGGGCCCUCUUCUUGAAAGGUUUCGCUAUCAGAUGAGCCUGCGUAAGAUUAGCUAGUUGGUGAGGUAAAAGCUCACCAAGGCGACGAUCUUUAGCUGGUCUGAGAGGAUGAUCAGCCACACUGGGACUGAGACACGGCCCAGACUCCUACGGGAGGCAGCAGUGGGGAAUAUUGGACAAUGGGGGCAACCCUGAUCCAGCAAUACCGCGUGUGUGAAGAAGGCCUGAGGGUUGUAAAGCACUUUCAAUUGUGAAGAAAAGUUAAUAGUUAAUA
Molecule: ribosomal RNA, 461 nt
Filed under: uncultured marine bacterium
Lineage: Bacteria
Description: bacterial SSU rRNA
Rfam family: Bacterial small subunit ribosomal RNA
Source: RNAcentral